UACGUAGGGUGCAAGCGUUGUUCGGAAUUACUGGGCGUAAAGCGCGUGUAGGCGGCUCGCUAAGUCUGAUGUGAAAUCCCCGGGCUCAACCCGGGAACUGCGUCUGAUACUGGCGGGCUUGAAUUCGGGAGAGGGAUGUGGAAUUCCAGGUGUAGCGGUGAAAUGCGUAGAUAUCUGGAGGAACACCGGUGGCGAAGGCGGCAUCCUGGACCGACAUUGACGCUGAGGCGCGAAAGCCAGGGGAGCAAACGGG
Molecule: ribosomal RNA, 253 nt
Filed under: uncultured bacterium
Lineage: Bacteria
Description: partial 16S ribosomal RNA
Rfam family: Bacterial small subunit ribosomal RNA
Source: RNAcentral